RNAcentral lists this ribosomal RNA (397 nucleotides) under uncultured bacterium. RNAcentral's name for it is "partial 16S ribosomal RNA". It matches the Rfam family "Bacterial small subunit ribosomal RNA", at positions 523 to 918 of the family's 1533-position model. The record is from RNAcentral.
AUACGCAGGUGACAAGCGUUAUCCGGAUUUACUGGGCGUAAAGGGCGUGUAGGCGGCCUUGCAAGUCAGAAGUGAAAUUCUCGGGCUCAACCCGGGCGCUGCUUCUGAAACUGUAGGGCUUGAGUGCUGGAGGGGAUAGCGGAAUUCCUAGUGGAGCGGUAAAAUGCGUAGAUAUUAGGAAGAACACCGGUGGCGAAGGCGGCUAUCUGGACAGAAAAGGAAGCUUAGGCGCGAAAGCGUGGGGAGCAAAAAGGAUUAGAUACCCGGGAAGUCCACGCCGUAAACGAUGAAUACUAGGUGUAGGGAGUAUCGACUCCCUCUGUGCCGCAGUUAACACAAUAAGUAUGCCGCCUGGGGAGUACGGCCGCAAGGUUGAAACUCAAAGGAAUUGAUGGGG